This is a long non-coding RNA of Antechinus flavipes (yellow-footed antechinus), 1124 nucleotides long. RefSeq lists it as uncharacterized. The record is from RefSeq and is a predicted model, not a curated record. NCBI's taxonomy places the organism in Eukaryota, Metazoa, Chordata, Mammalia, Dasyuromorphia, Dasyuridae. The transcript has 3 exons.
UGAUGGAGGAACUCAUCCACCGUGAAGGAGCCAUCAAAACCUAUCACCUGAGAGGGCAAACACAUCUCAGUAAUGAAAAGCAAAGGAAGAGGUCUAAGGAAACCACUUGGACAUUAUGAUCCACGGGUCACGAAGAGUGUGACAUGACUGAACAACAACAACAAAAAAGAGGACGAGGUUGGAAGACUUGGAGUGCUUGUCUUACCUGUGUAGAGCAUAUAAGCUGGAACUCAGCCCUCAGAGAAGAGGCAGAGAAGACAAAGGACUGGAGGCAGGAGCUCAAGCUCUCAGAACCAAGGGGAGAAUUUCAGUUCGAUCUUCGAUCUUCCUAAUGGCUGGCCUGGCCUCCUGCACUUCCCCUACUAAGAUCAAGGCCAGACUGAAAGGCUCUCCAGAAAGCUGCCCAGCAUCAGGCAAGGAGAUAAUAAAGGAUUUGGACUUUAACCCCUGGCUACUCUUCUGGUGAUUAUUGAACUGAAAAAAAGGCUGCUCCAAAGACUCCAAGAAAACCUAGCCAAAAGAACAUUACAUUCUAGUGCCCAACUAGAUUAAAAAGAUUAAGAUUAAAAUCUGAUUUGUAACUGAGUCUUCCCAGAAUGGAGCUAAUUUUUUAAAAAUGAAAGUCUUUGGUAUCUUUAAAAGGACUUUGUAAUUAUGGGUGAAUCCCUCAAAUGAAUGUCUGUGGAUAUAGGUGGGCUUGCAAUAAGUGUAUAAAGAAAUUCAGGUACAUCUGGCUCUUUAUGUGGAGUUUGCAUCAGAGGUGUCAAAUUUACAGCCCACAGAAUCCCCCCAGUAUGCUGGAACUAGAUUAAAAUGUGAUCAGGAUAAAUGGUCAAAGGAUAUGAAGACAAUUUUUGGGUGAAGAAAUUGAAAUAAAGAAAUAAAAAUACAAUUUAGGUGAAAUUGUAGUUUUCUAAGUUAAUAUGCUGCCCAGCAAGGAUCCGUUCCUAUUUGAAUUUGGUAUCAUGUACUAUUUGAUCUACAUGUACAAAUCUUUCAAUAAAUCAGAGGGGAGAAAAAAUUUUAUUUUUCCAUAUGUUCCAUAGUAUUCCUUGCUUCCCUCUUAAAUCCACUGUAUUCUGUGUUAGAGCUAGAGGGAGAAAGAGAGAGAAACCAAAGGUAAG